UGGUGCACAAACUGCUGCGCCGUCAUUACUAAAACAGCUCACGGGUCUCAGUAAAAACGUUCCUGUUCUCUUCUGUCAACACAACCAAAUGACACAUAAAAUUCCCCCAAGAAAUACAGAGAAAAGACCAGAUGCAUUGCAGCAUCAAUAAUCAGUUGGGUGGUCGGUACUAGCCUGCCUAUCUGAACACAUACUAACUGAUCUAUAGCUAAUAUGGGUUACCAAAAACCAGACAUUCAGUAUGUGCUUUUAAAACGUAGCUGCUGCAUAGAAGCAACUGUAAGAACUUGGCAAAGAGUAUUUUAGUGAGUGUGAAUUAUUUGCAUGGCGGUAAUGUUUGAUCAGUUCCAGAGAACUUAACUGCCUCACCUUAUAAGGUGAGUCCAGGAAAAACAAACCUCAUGCUUUAAUUGAUUGCAAGCAGAUAGAGAAAAGCGGUUGUCGUACUAUCACUCACAUUUCCACAGAUAAAGUUGAAUCAUCAGAUUGUUAUAUGCUGGACGGAUAAUCAAGUGAAGUAAGUAAAAUAAUUUCUUGGCAGUGUUGAAAGGGAUGUCUGAAUAGGAAUGCUCUGUAUGUUAUACAGCAUGUCUGUUUUAUUUCAUAUUGAUUAUUAGCUUACAAAAAUUUUGUCAGUCUGAGUUGAGAUAUGAAAAGAUUUGUUUCUCUGACAUUAAACAUAAUGCAGAUAAUAGGCUUAAUCUACCCAAGAGAGGUUAGUGAUGGCUGAGAGCAAAAUGCUAAAUAAGACAAUCUAUAUUUCCUGUCAGAUGGAUGUUUUCUUUAAAAGUAGUUACAUUAAGGUCAGCAGACCUUUGUCAAUGCAAUGUACACUUGCUUCAACAUGUUUUCAUUGAUACCUUUGUUUUUUCUUGUAGAUUUCUGACCCACACUUGAGAACAAACCUAUAUCAGCACCAAUAUAAACCUUGAAAGAGGAAAACAGACAUUCAACCAGUUUCAUUUUUCCUGUCAGAACACUGUUUCUACAUCCAGAGUUCCUCUGCGCUCAAGCUGUCCAUCUUGUGUCCAUCCACACCCCAGCCAACCAGACAUGGGACUAACGAGUGAAGACAUGGAGUGCUGCGUCUGCCUCCAGUCCUACUCACGCAGGGACAAGACCCCUCGAAUGCUUCACUGCAAGCACACCUUCUGUGGGCAGUGUCUCCAGGCGUUAUCCAGGCUCCAGAGUGGCCUGCUGAUGGUGUGCUGCCCACUGUGUCGCUGGAUCACAUGUACCAGGGCCAGUCUCCCCAUCGCUGGAUCCCUGUGGGUAAACACAGACAUCUGGGACAGGAUAACAGAAAGACAAGAGGAGGAGGAGCAGAAGGAGAAGGAGGAGAACUUGUGGAUGACAGAAAACAAACAGACACAGACCUCUACCCAGUGUGUAUGUCCGUCAUCGAGGAAUCGUAGCCUGUGGUCCAAGCUCAGGACUUUCCUGAGGAAACUGAGGUUCCAGAAUUCAAGAACACGUCAUUAAUCUGUUGUGGACUUUUCUUAGGACCUUUUUCAAGAACAAAUGUAAGACAAAAACGUAGGAAGAUGUUGGCGAAUGAGGCCCAAUGAGCUCAAACACAAAAGCAUGGCUAUGGUAUUUUUUAAGGAAGGCUGAACUCGACAUAUUAACCAUUAAUAUUCAAAAUCAUGCCUUUUUGUUGUGUUGUCAUUAAGGGGUUGAGGAAAGUUUCAAACAAAAUAUAAUCUACUCACGUACUGUAUCUUUCCAUCUAUCUUGAAGAAUAUCUAAAACAUUUCCUCUCUUUUCUGAACUAAUGAUUGCACUUAUCUGUUGGAUAGAUGAAUAGAUGACUGAUUGUCGGGAAGGUGUGUCAUUAAGAGUGUUUGAUGGGUGGUGAAGAAAGGACGAAAUGCAAUGAAAGUAAGCGAUAAGAAGGCUACAAUGUGUGUUCAAAUCUAAACAUGGGAGGUUUAAAUAAUGAGAUACGUACUCUUUAAAUCAACCACACACAUCGAAACGCAAGUCUUAGUUGUUGAUGGGAUUGUGUAAGUAAAAAAAAAGGAUUAGCAAAGUUUUAAAGUACCUCUAUCAUCUAUCUACUGUAACCAUCCAUCUAAAAUAAGUCCUCCAUUUUGUGAAAUAAUACUUGCACUUAUAUUUUAGACAGAUGAACAGAUAAAUAGAUGACGGACAGGCAGGCAGGCAGGCAGAGAGGCAGGCAGACAGGCAGGCAGGCAGGCAGAGAGGCAGGCAGACAGGCAGGCAGACAGACAGGCAGGCAGACGGGCAGGCAGAGAGGCAGGCAGACAGGCAGGCAGAGAGGCAGGCAGACGGGCAGGCGUUUGACGAGUGGAUGAAUGAUACAGUUAGGGUGAAUUUGGGUAAUCUGGGAAACUUUUUGCAAUUUUGACUUCUGCGAUUUAUUCCGAUAUCUGUCUAACACGUUAGAUCAACACAUUAUACCUCUCUGAAAUCCCUAAGAGGUUUUCUGACCACACCAGAGGAAAUAAUGUAGAUAUUAUAGC
Molecule: long non-coding RNA, 2486 nt
Organism: Esox lucius (northern pike)
Lineage: Eukaryota; Metazoa; Chordata; Actinopteri; Esociformes; Esocidae
Source: Ensembl